UCUCCUUUGACACCUUUCCUUCCACCAUUUUCCAUCUCUCUCUAUAUAGACACAAAGUUGUUUACCCAAAAGAAAUGGAGACAGAUGGACAUGAGCAGCAAGCUAGACAAGCCGCCGCCGCCACCACUUGACAGAUAAGGGAAAAGGGAUCGGCUGCUACUGGAUGCCAGCCAUACAGUAAGUUGAAUGGUUUGGUGUUAUAGAACGGCAUCAGUUAUCAUGGUUUGUAUAACAUUAUUUGUUCUUGUUUUGCCACCAUUUCUGCCACCCUUAUCGCCUCCUCCCUUGAUUUUUCUAUUUAUACCAGUCAUGAUUAUGUCUGCUCUAAUCAUGUUGGCCUUUUGUCCAGCACAUGUCACAAAUAUUACUACCAGCUAAUGCUAUUUCUCAUUAGAUAUAUACUCUGACAAACUUGAGAGUGGUGAAUACCCUCACAGACUGUAAUAUAUUAGCUUUGCGGUGGAGAUAACAUGGCAUUGGAUCUGGAAACCCUUAAGGUAAUAUUAUUUGCUUCUUUUUAAAAAAAAAAAAGAAAAAAAGUUAUGUUGAAUAACUAAGACAUCUAGUGUUUGAAGCAUAUUUUUCUUUGAUUCGUUUGUUUAUACAACUACAGGAAUGAGAGAAAUUUUUCUUCCUUUUUAUUUCUUGUGGCAAAAGUCCUAGUAAUCCACACUUGAUUUUCUUUUUAUCUGAUCAGAAAAUACUAAAACAUUGAUAAAUGGUGACUUAGUCUAACUGCAAGAUGAGAUCACUUUUGAAAAACAGGAUUCAAAUCUCAUUGAUCUAAAAGAAGGCCUAACAAGACAUUCACAUACGAGGGAGAAAUGGCAAUAUUUUGAAACUAUUCAUUUGCUGCUCAAGUUAGCAUUUAUAGGGAUUUCUCCUUGUUGAUGGUGAUUAAAUAAUUGAAUUGUUUCUUGGUCAAAAGAAGAUGAGAUAGAUGUUAUGGUACCCACUAUGUCAUAUUUGAAAGUUGAAUUAGUCGUGGUCAUAGCAAGAUGGUAUGAGUCGCUAGCAAUGGCCUAGGUUGCACCGAAGAAGGGUAAUAUUUUUGUGGCAUAAGCAUUUUGAAACAAAAUGUUUUGAGACUUUUAAAUACGUUUUGAGAAUUUAAGAAAAAAUUGUAUUGUCAUUAUUUUUUAAGUUAAUUUUAUGAUGUAUCUAUAAAUCUGACCUUUUACCUUUGAUAAUAAGUAAGCAAUAAUAAUAGGUAAACUUUUAACUUAUUAAAGAGAUUGUUUUAGGUUAAAGUGAUCUCACUUUAACUUGUUAAUUUAUUUUGAUUUUUGGUAUAUUUAGUUAAUGUAGGUCUCAUUUGAUAUUUCGUUUAAUUAUUUAUUAAAAUCAAAUGGCAUAAAUUAAGGAAUAAUACCGACUUUAUAAAACUAGUGUCAUUAUGAGCUAAUGUUAAUAAUUUGUAUUAAAUUAUCUAGGUUUGGAUUUAUUUUUAUUUAUUUAUAGUUAAUUAGCACAGGAUAAAAUAAAUUUUAGAUUGUAAAUGAGACACAUAGUUCAUAUUGCAAUUCUAGAAAAUCAAAAAAAUAUCAAAAUUAUGAAAUAUAAUUAUAGAAUUUAGAAAAAUUUUAAACAAAAAAAUAAUUAAAAAAUAAUUUUAUAAAUAAAUAAAUAAUAAAAAAAUAGUCCCAAUGGUUUGAAUAUGAUAUUGGAAAGUCUGCUAAUAGUUUAACUAUUCAGUCUUUAGCAUUUAGCAUAGAUAAUAUAAAUAUCAAUUAUAAAAAUAAAAUAUUAAAAUUUAAUGAAAUUGAGAUGACUUUCUAAUUUACAUUAAAAUAACUAAAAUGAUUAGUUUGAUUAUUGAAAAAAAUAAUGUAGUUUAUGUUUAUUUCAUCAAUAGUGAUCGCUUAUUAACUUAUUUUUGAUUAUUUUAUUUAAAAAAUUAAUAUAUCUAAUAAUUAUUGCUCUAAAGCAUUAAGUUGAGAUUAGUGAUUUAAAAAAAAAUAUAUCAAGAUUAAAUUAUUAUAUAUUUAAAAGCCAUUUAAUGACUUAGUAGACAUAGUGUGAGUCACAUCGUAAGCACCAAUGACAUUCAUGUUAAGAAAAAAAUUAAAAUUUAAGAUUAAUUUUUAGUUAUUGAUUUAUCAAAUAAUUAUAUAUAAGAACUUUUGAAUUAUAAAUUUGGAGUAAUAUAAUUGAUAACAGAGUAUCACACAAAAAAUGGACUAGAAACGCAGGAUUGAUUGAGUCCAAGAGGGUGUUUGGUUCAGAAAUUUGACGUAACUAAUAACUAAUUUUUACUAAACAGUUAUAUUAAAAUAUUUGGUAAAAACUUAAAAACUAGCAACUCAUAGUUGAUUUAGUCCCAAUCAGCUGCUGAUUAUAUCACCUAUAUUUUAAGUCUUUUUCUUAUCAGGUGAUACUGGAUUUGAUUUUUUUUAUUUAUGUGGAUGUUAUUAUUCUUAUUAAAACUUCUUAAUAAUAACUUACUUUAAAUUGAUCUCAUAUAAUUAAAUUUUUAUAUUUUAUAAUAAAAUAAUUAUUUAAAAUUUAUUUUUAAUAGUUAAAUAAUUAUAAUAUUUAUAACUAUGGUAUUUGAAAUUAGAGAUUUUUAUCAGUAGAGUUUAAAUUUAAAUUUUUAUUUGUAAUUUUUAAAAUAACUUUUUAUAUAUAUUUUUGAUAAUAAGUACAAUUGAGUUAAAGAUUAAUUAUAAUAUUCUUAAAAUUAUUAUAAGGUAUUUUUAUUAAUAUUUAUUAUGGAACAUAAUAUAAUAAAAUAAAAUAUCUUUAAUGAUAAAUUAUAUCAUUAAUGGUUAUUUAACAUAUAAAUAACUGCUACUAAAAUUUUACCAAACAGUUUAGUUCAUCAGCCCUCAGCUACUAGCUGCAUUGAUCAGCCGAGUCAAACAGGCUUCAAGUCCAAGAAAGACUAAAAGUCUAAAAAACCAAGUCAUGGUCGGACUCUACUAGAGUAGUCCGGUCCGACCUAGAACACUACUGUACGAUCAGGAAGAUUAAUUCUAUUAGGUUUAGGGGACUUCAUACUUACAUAAUCUUACUCCUACUAGGACUAGAAGACUUUCAGAUCCUAUAUAAAGGACUGGAACGUAGCUUAAUAGGUACAUACAACCUUCUAUAACUAAGACUCCAUUCUAAGAUCUUAUUACCUUAACUGACUUAACCAUCAGAGUGAAUGGUCGGAGAAUCCCAGUCAGUGCUUUCUAACCUCUUUUGUAGAUACUCUGAAGCUCAAAUUAGACAAUGCAUGAAUCACAAUAAGCAAUAAAGAGUCAAUAUGAGUAUCGUUCCUACGAGGAGAUUGAUACCAAGUACCAGCGCUAAUUGUAUCUCCACCAUCUAACAAAAUCGAAUAAUUGUAAUUGAAUAAAUAACAAAUAAGAAAAGAGAACUUAAAACUAAUAAUAAUUUCUCUAGAAAAAUAACAAUUAAAACUAGAGCCCGAAUUUAUUUUAUUAGCUAUUGCUCGGAUUACAAGAUCUUUUCACAAUCUAGAUCAUUUAGACUCUCUUUUGAGCUCAUCUAAGAAUACCAAAGUCAAUUACAAAUUAUUUCAUGGUCACAUCAUUUAACUAGAGUUCAUUAAAUUCCUUAGCAAUAUAUUACUACUCGAAGGAUUUGUCUACUUUCAUGAUCGAGGUUCCUAAGUCUUACAAACCUAUGAGCUAAUAAAUCAUGAUACUUUCGUUGUCUCUAAUUUACCCAAAUACAUGUAUUUAAUUAGGCCCAAAUCAAAUACAAGAACAAUUAAAAGCAACUCAUAACAUUGACUAAAAAUUAAUUCAUUGAAAGAAAAUAAAGAUCCAAACAAGUAAUAGACUAACUAUACAAAUCCAAACCCUAAGAAGAGUUUAAACUAUGCAUGAUUGCGGCAAUACACAUAAAUAUCAUUAAAGAAAUCAAAGAAGAACAAGAAAUAGUUAAUUCAAACUCUUGAAUCUUUGCACAAUUAUUCUUGAUCUCUUUGAAUAAGUCUUCAAAAGCUUGUAUAUAUGAUAGUUGUUCUUUAAAAUAGUUAUUUGCCCCUCUCCACAACCCCCCCACCCCCCCCCCCCCCCCCCUUUUAUAGCCAAUACUCAAAGAAAAUCCUAUUUGCCCUAAAUUUUUGAGUUUCACGUAAAAGUAAACUCUCUUUUAUUCGACAUGACUUGACAGACGGCCAUGUCAAAUUCUUCACCUUACGGCACGAUUUAUCACACGUUCAUGUGUGAUUCCAUGCUGUGCUUUCACAAUUUCUUUGAUUCAGACAGAAACAGUCACAGUUUCAAACACGACAGUGUGAUACUCGUGUGAUACUCUACUCAGAAUCCAAAGGUAGACACGACUUCUAGCAUGAUUGUGUGUCAAGUCAUGCUUUUUGAUUCUUCUUCCACCGUGCAACAUGGGCAUAAGCAUAUGGCCAUGUUUAGCCAUAACAUAGCUUUUCAUUAUCGUUUAGGAUUUCAUUCUCAUCUUUCCUAUAAAAAAAGAAAAGCUUAUCAAAAUCAAGUACACAUUUCUAAAUAAAUCAAAGUAAAUAAAAUACUAAAAUAAUGGUAUAACCUAAACUCCUAAUUAAACCUAAAUUCUUUCUAAUUAAUACUAAUUACUUAUUCAAAAUCUAUUAAAAUUCAACUCAAAGACAUGUGUAAAAUUACAUACAAUAAUCCUCUUUGUCCAUACUAGGACAUCAUCUUAUACAACUCACAUUCUUGAUAUAAAUACAAAGCUUUAUUAUCUUAGUAAGGUAAGCUAAGAUUUGUCCAACACCUCCUUCUUCCAUUUCUCACUAAAUAGUCACAUUAAAAUCGAACCAAGCUAUAGCUAACCCAUCAACUAAACUUAUAGAAGAAAUAAAAGCAAGAUUAGAAAAACUGCUCUUAGCUAAUAUACUAUUAACUUUCCUAUCUUAGUUAUUUUUUUCACUAAGAAGCACAAAAUUGGGAAGAUAAGUUUACACAAAUCUUUGAGCUGGUAAAUUGUCAAAAUCUUUCCAAUGCCCUAGCAAUUUCAACUUAAAAUAUUCAUGAUUAGGACUUGGGCCAAUUUAGGUUGGCCUUCUCCAUCUAGGGGUGAGCAAAAUUCUAAAAAAAAACUAAAAAUCGGACCAAACCGAUUCUUAUUCGGUUCGGUUUGAUUAUUUUUUUGUAAGUUCAGUUUAUACGGUUUAGCUUUUUUAAAACUAAAAUUAUAUCGAUUCAGUUCAAUUUUAUACUAAAAAAUAUAAAUUAAUCGAAAUAACCAUUUUUAUUUUUAUUUUUAAUAUGAAAUUUAAUUUUUAUUUUUAAUAUAAUUUAGUUUUUAAAGUAAUUUUAGGUUCAGUUCGGUUUUUUCUUUUCGAUUUUUUUAAUUCGAUUAUUGUGACUAAACAUCUUAUUUGGUUCAGUUUGAUUCAUAUUUAUAUAUAAUUCGGUUAUUUUAGUUCGGUUAUUUCGAUUUAUUUAAAAUUUGGAUUCGAUUCUAUUUAUUCGAUAGAUCUAAUUCGGUUCGAUUUUGAACUAAACCGACCGAGUGCUCACCUCCAUGUCCAUCUAUAAUAUGAACUAUUUUGUUAUAGAAACUCUAAUACCAUAUUAAUGAAUUAUUUCAAGCAAAAAUUUAAGAUUUUAACUAAAACUCUAAAAACAGUUUUAUAUCUCUAAAAACUAUUAGUACUAAUCACCCUAUAUAUGUUAAGGGUUAUUAUUUGGUGUCACAUGACACUAGUGUCAUAGAAAUCUUAUUUUUAAUCAAAGUAAAAAUUGAUAAUCUUUUCUUAAAAACUUAUAAAAUCGGUGGAAUAAAAUAUAAAUAUUGUUAAAAUUUUAUCUAUAUUACCUGUAAUUGGUAAAAGGAGUAAUUUAUUAUCUUAUUAGCAAGUUUUCAACUAACGGUUAUAAAUAAAUCUAACAAAUCUAAUAGCUUAAAAUACAUAUAAUUUCGGUAUCAUGUGAUUCCUGAAGUAAUUUAAUUUAAUCUAUAUUUUUUUCAUAUCUCUAAAUUUCUUGAGUACAAAUUAGGAACCUAAAGAGUAGGACCAAUAUCGAAGGAGAUAGAUUUAGGAGAUAUAUAUUGUUUAGGAGACAAAUACUAAAUCAAAUCUUCUACACUCCCUCUCAAGUUGGUUCAUAGGAAUUUUGCAUGUCCAACCUGUCUAAAGCUCAGUAAAAAAAUUUCCUUGAUACUGCUUUGGUAAGGAUAUCGAUGAGCUGAUCUUUAGAUUGGACAUGAGGGACUUUAAUUAUCUUGCCUUAGUAUCUGUCUAUCUCCACAUAUUUUGUCUGAUCAUAUUAAACUGGAUUAUGAGCUAUAUCACAUGCAGCUUUAUUGUCACAAUAUAGUCUCAUAGGACUAAUUUGCGGAACUUAGAGUUCAUGUAGUAAAUUCCCGAUCUAAAGCAACUCAUAAACACUUUUAGUCAUCCCUCUAUACUCGGCUUCUGCACUAAACUGAGCGACAACACUUUGCUUCUUACUGCUCUAUGUGUGUGAGUGUGUAUAUGUAAAUAUAUGUAUAUGUAUAUGUAUAUGUAUAUGUAUAUGUCUAUAUUUGUGUAUAUAUAUAUAUGUUUGUGUAUAUGUAUAUAUUUAUAUAUUUAUGUAUGUAUAUAUAUGUAUGUAUAUCGAAUCCGAACCUAACCUGAACCCGACACGGGUAGUAAAUUUAAAUUCCAAAUCCGUUUAUCAUUAUCCAAAUAUGUCUCAAAAUCGGAUACCUUGAAAGACACGUCUGACUGCCAUCCCUAAGCAUGAUUUCUUAUUGUACAUAGUAUAUAAAUUUAUUUCUCAUAAAAUAAAAUUAUUCUUAUUAUUAUUUUAAUUGUAUAACGUUAAAUAUUUUACUAUUUUAAAUUUAUUAUAUUUUUAUUAUUUUCUUCUUUAUAUCAAUUUAUAUUUCAUGUUUAAGACAUUCUGUUUCCAUUAGUGUCCAAAACCCAGUAUUUCGACAUUUAUUCAGAAAAACUAACCACGGUUUUGCUCAUCAUAAUAUAUAUAUAUAUAUAUAUAUAUGAUUAUUGAUCAUGUGAAAUUAAAAUAGUUCUUAUAUUUAACCCUUAUUAUAUUAUUAUACGAUAAUGUUUAUUUGUCUUAUCAUUUUAAAUUUAUUAUUUCUAAUCUGUAUAAAUGUAAAACCGACGAUAUAUUUGUCCUAUUUAAUUAAAAAAUGUUUUUGUCAAAUAUGUUCUCUUAUAUAUAUAUAUAUAAUAGACACACUGAUAUUUAUUAGGACGAAGUUUACGGUCUUCAGGUUCUACAAAUUACACUUUUCUUUUGGACAAAACUUACUUCCCUUUCAAUUUUGUAUAAUGAGCAUGAGCAAAAAUACAUCACCGAUCACAAAAUCAAUAGUUGUCAUUUUUUGAGUUAAAUAGUACCACAGAUGGACCUUAUAUCUGGGAAGGCGUUUUAUUUAUUUAUUGACUGCGAAACAUCAAAUUUGUUUUCUUCUUAUAUUUACUUGCUAUCAAAUUUGUUUUCUUCUUAUAUUUACUUGCCAGAGUCUAAAUUUCAAAGUGACCUGAUAGUAAUUACUCAUAAAUAUGGCCUGCCUACCCGGAAAAAAGAAAGGGAUUUGGAGCAGAGUGGCCAGCGAUGUGUUGGCUAAAUUUCAUGCUAGGUUUUGAUAAUAUUAAAAGGUCAUUAAUAACUUUCAUAGCUUUUCUGUGCGUACCUCAAUGAUGUGCACGAACAUGGGAGGGGAAAGGGAUGCCCAAUAAGUCAAUUCUAUCAUUAUUGUUCCUUAUGCAUGCAUGUAAAUUUAUUUCUAGUGUCCUUUUAGCAGCAUCAGUUCCAUAAUUCACUGCAAGGGUUUCUCUUUUUAUUUUUUUCCUCGAAUUUACGAAUUGAUUACACCCACCGAACCACAAAAUCAAAAAUAAACAAGAUUGAUCUUUGUUGGAGAUGUGAAACAUCAAGUAAAUAUAAAGAAGUCGAAUGACAUAUAAAUAGAAAAGAUUGAGAUUUAGUGCAACUCUGCUUAAAUGGUUACUGAUAUAAUACGGUUUAGCACUUACAAAAUUUAUGGAAUUUUUAUAUGAUUUUUAGAUAACAAAAUGGCAAAUCGAGUCAAGCUUUGUUAGAUCUGGGUUUAGUUUAGCAUGAGUGUUUUGGAAACAUAUCUUUUUCGGUUCAGAGAAUCUCUAGUCUGGGAUUUCUCAGAUUUUAGAUUGUAUUUCAAAUUAAUUUAUCGAGCUUUAGUUAAGUUUCCAAAUUAACUUAUUUAAACUUUUUUAUCUCAUAAUUUGUAAAGUAAAAAAUCUAUAAGUUUAACAAACUUACAACCAUAGAUAUUUAUUAAUUAAGUAAAAUAUUAGUGAAUUAAUAAUUAGUAAUUGAUUUGUUGAUUAAUAAAUAAUUUAUUAAAAUUAACUAAUUUAUCGAUAAAUUAAUAAUUAUUAACUGGAAAUGCAAUAAAAUUAUACAUAUGUUUAAUUAUCAAUAUAAAUUUAAUGUAUUUCUAGUUAAUUUUUUAUUGUCAUUUAAUCAAAUAAAAUUAUACAUUUCACAAGAGUUCAUUAUAUAUACUUUCUACUCAACACCUAUUUAAUUAUAUUUUCUCAAAUUCAUAAUAGCAAUCAAAUUAAUUUCCAAUAUAAUAAAUGCAAAGACUAAUUAUAUUUUAACUAAAUUUUUUUGUUUAAUUAUUUUUUAGUAAUUUUUCUUUUUACAUGAUACUUUAUUGUAUUCAAAUUAAUUAUUUUUUCUGAUAAUUCAAAAUUCAAGAUAGCAACCCUUUUGAAGAAUCAUAAACUUGGAGAUAAAAAUGGAAAAAGAAUAAAUUUAAACCAAAAUAAAUUAAGAUUAUUAAUACUAAAGUUAUUGCUAUAGAUAAUGAUAAUUAAUUAAAUGCCACAAAAAAAUUAUAUUAUUUCACUAAAGAAUUAUUUUUCAAGAUAUUUUAAAUUUUGAAUUGGGUUUGUAUCAGUUAUAAAUUUCGGAUAGUUUCAUAUCUUGGGGAUAGAUUAUUCCAUAUUCGAAUUAUUCUUUUUUGUUGUAUAGUAUCAAACUCUAGUUGAUUCAAUCAAUUAGGUGACUUGGAUUUCUAAUCAAUUCAAUCUCAAAUCACUUCAGAUUUAAAUCAUUUUAGGUUCAAUUUUAGUUAUUUUAGAUUUAAAUUUUUUAAAUUUCUAUUAAUAUUCAAAUUUAGAUAGAUCAAAUUUCGGGAGAGUUAAAUUGGAUUUCUGGAUCCCAAUCAAAUUUUUCCAUUUUCAAUUCUAUCAAAAUUGAGAAUGACCUAACAGCGAAACAGAUAGUAAAGCUCAUAUUCGAAGACCUAGAGUUAGGCUAACAAAAAAAAAAAAACUAGGUUACUUAGAGUUAGGCUAACAAAAAAAAAACUUGGUUACUCUGAACUUGGGCCUCAAAUAGACAAGUCAGAAUACAUUUAACGAGUGAUAAUUAGUUCAGACCUAAUUUCAUUUACGGGAGAGUGUCAGAUAAAACAUUGGACUUCAAUAAAAAUUAGUUUAAUACAAGGUAAAUGGAAAAAUUGAAUCUCCGCACAGGCCAAUUGUUUUAUGUAAGAUCAAGAUACGAUUGAACCCUACUUAUAUGAUCGCUAAAACAAGUUAGUCCGACACUUUCAAUAUAUAUAUAUAACUUUUAAGAAAAAUGUCUAAACCGCUUUGCAGAAGAAACAGAUCUUUUUGUUCGUAGCAAUAAGAAAGUUAAAAUUGAUCUUCAAGAAACUCUUAUUGUCUCGGAAGAGAUUGAAAUGAUGAAUAGUGAUGUUGCUCCCCUUACAGAUCUUGGAGAGCCUGAUGGGGUGAAGGAGGUGUUGGGUCAACGUGUCUCGUUUAAGGAGACUCUUAUAGGGAAAAAUCCAUAUCAAUUAGAGAGUGUUCACCUAUAUGAUAAUGAUUCAGACUUGAAAGAUGAUGGUGAUAUGGAUGAUGAUGGAGGGGAGGAAGAUUGUACGGUCAUCAGAAUAUCUAAGAAAGGAAAAAGGAAAUUAAGAAAACCUUAGAGACAAACUCUGAUUGUCAAACUCUUGGGACGUUCUACUGAGUAUAACUUUCUCCUUUCAAAAAUUAAGGAGUUACGGAGACCUAAGGGUUUGAUAGAUCUUAUGGCAAUGGAUAAUGACUUCUACCUCGUCAAAUUUGGGUCCAAAGAUGAUUAUGACUAAUCGGUCCAAAUUAUGUAUAGAUAUUUAAGGGUAUUUUAAAGUUUUAAUGAUAUAUUUCUAUAUAUAAAAUGGUGAAAAUAUAUGUUUUUGCCUCACUUCAGCUUAAUUGUCUAUUUUCAGGAAUAUUAGCAAAAAGAGGAAAAUAUAGAGCUAAAAGAAGCUUAAUGAGACAUGUUCAUAUCAAGGCCCAAGAUUAAGACGCAUGGACUACUAAUUACAAGGCCC
RNAcentral lists this long non-coding RNA (10284 nucleotides) under Ricinus communis (castor bean). RNAcentral describes it as "long non-coding RNA (RCOM_LNC002106)". The record is from RNAcentral. Lineage: Eukaryota; Viridiplantae; Streptophyta; Magnoliopsida; Malpighiales; Euphorbiaceae.